This 307-nucleotide ribosomal RNA is filed under the name uncultured bacterium. Its description in RNAcentral is "bacterial SSU rRNA". It matches the Rfam family "Bacterial small subunit ribosomal RNA", at positions 29 to 316 of the family's 1533-position model. The record is from RNAcentral.
AACGAACGCUGGCGGCGUGGAUAAGACAUGCGAGUCGAACGGGAUUACUUCGAGUAGCAAUACCUGAAGUAAUUUAGUGGCGAACGGGUGCGUAACACGUGGGGAAUCUGCCGAGAAGUGGGGGAUAGCUCGUCGAAAGGCGAAUUAAUACCGCAUAUGAUCAGGGAAGACAUCUUUCCAACAUCAAAGACCGGGGCGAACCUGGCGCUUCUUGAUGACCCCGCCGGCCUAUCAGCUAGUUGGUGAGGUAACGGCCCACCAAGGCGAUGACGGGUAGCUGGUCUGAGAGGACGACCAGUCACACUGG